CAGCCGCCGCGGUAAUACAGAGGAUGCAAGCGUUAUCCGGAAUGACUGGGCGUAAAGCGUCUGUAGGUGGCUUUUCAAGUCCGCCGUCAAAUCCCAGGGCUCAACCCUGGACAGGCGGUGGAAACUACCAAGCUGGAGUACGGUAGGGGCAGAGGGAAUUUCCGGUGGAGCAGUGAAAUGCAUUGAGAUCAGAAAGAACACCAACGGCGAAAGCACUCUGCUGGGCCGACACUGACACUGAGAGAUGAAAGCUAGGGGAGCAAAUGGGAUUAGAUACCCGUGUAGUCCCUGUCUCUUAUCC
Molecule: ribosomal RNA, 301 nt
Filed under: uncultured bacterium
Lineage: Bacteria
Description: partial 16S ribosomal RNA
Rfam family: Bacterial small subunit ribosomal RNA
Source: RNAcentral